Long non-coding RNA from Arabidopsis lyrata subsp. lyrata, 723 nucleotides. RefSeq lists it as uncharacterized. The transcript is spliced from 4 exons. The record is from RefSeq and is a predicted model, not a curated record. NCBI's taxonomy places the organism in Eukaryota, Viridiplantae, Streptophyta, Magnoliopsida, Brassicales, Brassicaceae.
AACAACACCCUACAAAUCUCAGGCGAUUGUUCGAUCGACGAAUCAAUUCCAAAAUUGCCUGAUAAUCAAGCUAUUACGUCUCCGUUUAUCAUCUUUUUAUCUCAAAUUCGGAUUACUACAAAGAGAUAAUUGUUUUAGAAGAACUUUUGUCUUAUAAAAGGAACCGGUUGCAAAGAUGUAUGAUAAUGAAGAUACUACAUCUCUGUUUAUCAUCUCUUAAUCGGAAAAUCUGAAUUCUACAAAGAGAGGUGGCUUCAAAUAAUGUCGUCUUUGGAGAAGAUAGGACAACCCUAUAUAAUGUUAAAGAUUGCCAAAUCUCAACCGUAAGAAUCAAACCAAGGAUAACUGUGAAGUAAUAAAUUGUUAUGUUUUUAACAGUCCAUUUUGGAUCCAUAGGAUCCGCGUGUCAAUCCAAAAAAUUAGUCCAGGAUCCGCGUGCCUUUCCGAUCGAGUCGCCCAUGAUCCAUGGGUAUUUUGCUUUUAAAUUAUGAUUUUGCCCUUCAACGAUUUUUUUCAUUUACUCUUUGAUUGUAAUUAUUCCAAUGGCAUCUUUUGUAAUUCUUUACCCUUCAUAAGGUUAUUUAUUAUUCAAUGCUUCCCAAUUAAUAGUAUAGAUUUAAGAAUUAAUGACGUUUUUUAUUACAACAUUCCUUAAAACUCUUAUCCUAGAUCCAAAUAUGAUUAAACCGGGUAAAACCCGGAUCCAAAUGAAUUAAUGCAAAA